UAUUAAACCCACAUCCUCAUGGAUAUUAGUCAGAUUCUUAACCUGCUGAGCCACAACAGACACUCCCCAUAGUGUUCGAUCCUUGAUUCAAAGUAGGGAGAUGAGAUUACGACAGUUGAAAGCAAGAGGCAUCUCUUGGUGCCUCUGAAUAGGAACCUGACCUAGGAAGUAAUUGACAACUCCUUGUUAUUUUCUGACUCAACCUAUCUGCUCACAGAUCCACAUAGGCUUUUGGGCUCACAAAGUCCAUGAGCCAAGGUCAAACUUGCUUUUACCUCACAUUUGGGGUUUCACUUGUCUUUGUUCCUCAGCUCUAGCUCCAUCAAAAAUAAGACAGUGAAGGAGUUCCCAUUGUGGCUCAGUGGGUUAAGAACCCAACUAGUAUCCAUUAGGAUUCAGUGUUGCUGUAAGCUGUGGUGUAGGUUGCAGAUGUGGCUCAGAUACGACCCCUAGCCUUGGAACUUCCAUAUGCUGCAGAUGCAGCCCUAAAAUGGAAAAAAAAAAAAAAGUGAACUUGUCGGUCAAGCAGCUUAUAGUUUCUCCAGGCCAUUUGGGUGUGGAGAGGAGGAGAUACAACAAUGCCUGAAGCUUUCUGAAGAAAUAAAUACAUUUAGGAGGACAAGGCAUUAUUUGUAAGUCAGACUUUUUCAAUCCCAGGGCUGAGUUUGGACGCUACUGUCCUUGCCUUGCAGGAUGUUAAGCGGCAUUCUGGCUUCUAUCCACUAGAGGGCGGUAGCCCUCCCUGCUCCCAAACAAUCAGUCAGGAUCAGCAGAAAUGUCUCCAGGCCUUGCCAAAUGGUUGAAAAGACCUGGUGUGUUUUCCUAAAGAGUAUAAAAACUCUAUUAAUGCACAGUAAUGCAUAAUAGUUAUUUGGUGGAUCAAAGAGAGCCAAAUAAGCGAAUGUACCUCCUUUACUUCUCUCUUCUACAUCAAUUGUUUUCUACCAUACAGAUCCAGAAAGCCUCCUGGGAUAAGUGCAGGGAAACAAGCAAAUAAAAUAGGGCUUAUUUCACUUCCGUUUCAUUACUCAGAAAUCUAAAUAUCUCAAGGGUUUUUGGCAAGAAAUAAUUAACUAAUGUGCUCAGAUUCCUCUCAUAGGCAGAAGUGCACAAGCCCCAAACGUGAGUUGCCUGCCUCUGUUUAAGCUCUGCAGAAUUUCCCCCUCCCCAUUAUUGGGGAGCACAGUGGCCUCUUUAUUCCCAUGAACCAUGUGGCCUUGGGUUUACCUUUUUUUCUUUGCACCUCCUUUUUUCCCCUAUUUUAAAAUUUUUAUUGAAAUAUAGUUGAUUUACAAUGUUGUGAUAAUUUUUGCUUUACAACAAAGUGAUUCAGUUUUUUGUUUUGUUUUGCUUUUUUGUUGUUGUUUGUUUUUAUUUGACCACAAGGUGCAGCAGCUUGAUGUGGAAUCUCAGGUCCCAGAUUAGGGAUUGACCCCAGGCCACAGCUGUGAAAGUGCCAAUUCCCAACCACUAGACCACCAGGGAACUCCCUCUUUCCACCUCUUGAUCCUUUUUUACCUCUCUGUUAGAGGCUCUGUUGGGUUCUUGAGGCUAUGGGAAUGCUAGCUUUGAAGAGUAGAAAUCAAGGACAGUGUCCUUGCUGGCUCAUAGAGGUUGCCUUGUUAUUUUGCUAUUUGCCAUGCAGGAUGACAAAACACACUCCAAUAGAUGAGAAAUUGACAUAGCCGUUAAAUUGACCAAGAUUUGAAAGAGAUUCCUUUGUGGCCUUUACAGAAAGCCACAGACAUGAUGAUAGAAUCAAAAGUAUAACCUUUUGGGGAAAAAAAAAAACUGAUGGAAAUAGGAUCAUUCACCUUGAAGAUUGAAGAUGAAUCAUGAAGUGUCAUUAAACAAAGAAGCUUAUGUUUUCUCCUUCUACCUAAGAUAGCAGAAAACCUUAAUAUGUACAAGGUGUGAAGAAUUUAAAUCUAUUGCAGGGCAACAUUUCUGAUAAUUAAGUUUUAUAAACUUUACCAUCAAGGGUGGUUUUGGAAUCUUCUCUAAAGGUCUUUAAAAAUUGCCUGAACUUGAUUCUGGCUGGUUGCCUCAGGUAGGCUGUGGUCCUGCAAGGGAAAGAAUGGCUUCUUGAGUCUCACUGCUCUUGCUCUUGAAUGGCGAUGAGGUGACAGAGCCUUAACUUUAUUCUCUAAAUCAGGGCUUGGGCCAUGUGCUUUCCCAGUUGUGAGUUACUUGGCCACAUUCAACAGAUGGAGUUUCUCUCUGUGCCUUCAGUGGAGCUCUGUGUUUUUCCUUAGAUAAGCGGUGUUGCUACUUGGGUUCCCCCAAGCUGAUUCUGAGAUUGGAGAUUUGUGUACAGGCUGCUCGCUAGGGGGCGCUUUUGGUAUCAACCAAGAUGGGCUGGGGAGAAAGUAGGAUUGGACAGAGGGAGAAGGUGAGCUCUGAAGAAAUCCCAGCAAAGAACUCAGUAGACCACAUAGAAAACUCUGAGGCUGGGAUGGCUCUUCUCAAGUGUCCCCAGUUGGGGUAAGAGGGCCCGGCCAUUUAUACGCCUAUGGAUGACUCACUGGAUGGGGGCUGCCACCUGAAGAAUGCAUGACCUUGGGCAGAGCAGCUUCCUUUAGCCCAGGUACUCCCCAAAGAGGGCUGGCAGCUGGGGGUCUUCUUCCAGCAGCAUUCCCAUCAAGUGGGGAAAUAAACCCUCCAUUCAGGAAAGGGGUUUUGGGGGUGCAUCUUUGUGUUCACCACAGGCAGUCUUCCUUAUCUUCUACUUGUGUUUGAGACUUGCCUUUACCCUUUAUUAUUUAUAGAAGAGGCAUUGUCCCUCCUCCAGGAACAUAUGUCUCUUACUCUUGUUCCCUGUCCUACCCUUGCCACCCCUGUACACAGAGUAAAUGCAGAGUCAGAUUCUGUUGUUUCUGAAAUGUCUUUCCCCCCUCCCUCACUUCCCUCCUUUAGCACUCAUCAGGCAUUCACCUGCUUCCAAUUUAAGCCUCGUGACAGCCAGCCUAGAUGGCAAGCUAAAUGUCAGUUGAUUUCUUCUUCUUUGGAGUUUUUCCAUUAUUCCCUUAGUGGCCAUGUACUCCCCUCUGCCAAUACCUUGUGCAUGAAUUCCCAGGAUAGUGGUGUGGCUGGCCUGGAGCCUGGGUUAGCUCAGCCCUGAGCUUGUGAGACUUUGAUCACAGCCUGUUUUCUCAAUUAGCUGUCUAAAGGAGUUCUCUUGCAGUGCAGCAGGUUAAGGACCUGGCAUUGUCACUGCAGCAGCUUGGGUUGCUGCUGUGGCGCAGGUUCCAUCCCUGGCACAGGAACUUCCACAUGCCAUGGACACGGCCAAAAAGGAAGAAAAAUAUAUAGUGAAUUAGUUGUCUAAAGCGAGGAGAGCUCACUGGACUAAGUGAUCCCCUACAUCUCUUAGUGUAUUCAGUGACUUUUUGAUUUGAAGGAUUUUCACAAAGGAAAAUGGGACCUAAAAGAGGGCCAGAUUCCCUACUUUGUCUUCACUUCCUAUCGCACCCACAAGGAAGACUGGAGCCUCCUUUCCCAAAUAAAUGCAAGGUGGGGAAUUAGUUAUGGCCUUGUCUAGAGAGUGUGGGGGAGUGGAGGUUUAGAAUCCCCAGACCAUUUUGGAAACCUGAACUGAAAUUAGAAAAUUCUUCACAGUCCCUCUUGCAGCUGCUCCUAGCUUCUGCCUGUGAGGCUCUCCUGUAAUGUGAGUGAAGGUGAAUCUGGAGCUGGGUGGAGCUGCAUUUGAAAUGCUCUGGGAGUCCACUGCAGCCAGAGUGGGUUCCUGCUGGUUUCUUUCUACUGGCCUCCCUCCCCUUUUCUCAGUCUCAAUGGAUUUAAUUAUCACUGUUGGUAUUUUCUAUAGCCUUUGUCUUUUGUUUGUUUUUUGCACCAGAGGGAGCCAGGGUAAAUGUUGGCCCUUGAAAGGAACUCGGGCUCAGGGGGGGCCAGGUAAAGACCCUUCAAACUGUCCUUUCUUUUCCAGGAUGGCACUCUUUCAGUAAUGACAGACUGUGAUAAAUGGGUUGCACAGAAUAAAUAUAGCACAGAGCAGAGAAGCUGGAGCGGAAAGGCUAGUGGAAAAGUGAACCUGGCUGUUUAAGAGCUGAGCUGAGCUUAUUUGCAUAGUAACUCAGGUGUGGUUACUUAUUUAUGAAGCACAUUUCCUCUGAGGUGUGGAAAAUAGGCUAGCUGUGAACCUGAUCUGGGCCUUAGAAUGCUCAGAGUCAGGAGGCAGAGCCCCUCUCCUUGAGCCCCUCUCCUCUUCCCCCUCCGGGUGCUCCUGUUGAUUCCCUGAACUUUUUCUUCCCUUCUUGCUAUGCUGUCGGGUCCUGGAAGGCAGGGACAGUGUUUGGUCACCAUUGUUUCCCUGGUGUCCAGUGUCUCACCUGGCACCUGGCCAGCCUUCAAUAAAUGGGCAUGUCCUGAAUGGCAUUUGGCAGUGAAGCAUACAACUACCUGGAAGUUGGAGGGAGGUAAAUAGAAAAGAAGAGGAGAGGACUUUGAGCUCCCUAACGAGACACCCACCUUGAAGCCAGAAGAGGAAGUAAGGUUAGAAAGGACAGAAGCAGCACCAUUUGAAGAAGGGGGUCAGCUGUGGACCUACUGCAGAAGAUCCCAAACAAACUUGCCCUUUUCCCAAGUGCAUGGUUUUACUUCUCCAGAAAAAGGAAAACACCAAAACAAGCCACACAAUUCCCUCCCCCCAAUAAAAGACGCCUACCCCAAACAGCAAUUGCUUCAGACUCAUAGUGAUGCCCUAGUUACACAGCAGAAAGAACAAAGAAGUGAUUUAAGCAUCUUGAAAUUGAAAUUGCUGUUGCCAAACACCAGAGGGUCAGCAGAAUCAUUAGAUUCCAGAAAAUGCAGAACCUCUGAGGCCUCUGUAUUCUUCCAUCCUGAUGUCAGAUUGCUGGCAGCCCACGCUGAGCUGCUUCAUAAGAAUGUGCAGCUAGGCCACUGCCUCUAGAAGAGAAGAGGCAGCGAGGGCCAGCUGGCUCUACUGGGGGGCUUGGAAGCUCUGCAUUGAAGAUACAUUAACCAGCCGAGGACACUGUCAUUUCUCUGCUCCCAGUGAUGAAUGAGGCCAAGGCUGCCCUUUCAGCUGAUUAGACACAGAUGUGGAUGUCUCUGAGUUUAUCCAUUGGGGGCCUGGCAGGGAAACAAUUUAUCUCAGGUGCUUCAAAUAGAAAGACUAAUACAGGGAUUAACCGAGCCGCGGGCAGAGUUACGGGAACAUAAUAGAAUGUUGAGAUACCCAGAGAUUUGUAUCAGUGGGAGCCAUUACCCCCUCAGGCCCGAGUGCAGAGGGAAGAUUGAAGUCUGGGUGCCUGACCCUGUGGGACUGGAGCUGUGGAGAGAGGGCCUCCAGACCUAGGGCAGCUGGCAGGGAGGAGUGGCGAGGAAAUCCCUGCCCCUUAUUCCUGCUGGUGCCUCCCACUGACCAAACCAAAAGCUGGCCCACAAGGGUGCCCGGAAUGGUGACUUCUUCAAGGGAGAACCCUGCAUGUUCCUGGUUCCCAGCCAUGUGGAGGACAACAAACUCAGAAAAGGAGAGUCUUUGCAAAUGGAUGAAGACCCAAAGUGACCAGACCAGGAAGCCUGUUGAACUUUUAGACACAGAAACAAGAAAUUUGUGAAGAAUUGAUGAGACAAGAGGUUUGGGCUAUGGUAGUAAAUGAUGAAGAAAUGAGCUGGAAGAUAAAGGUUAGUUUAAUAAGGUUUGUUUGUACAGAAAACAAAUUGUCCUUAAUCCCUGCCUUUGAUCUUCAGAAUGUCUUCUUUCCUUUUGGGACCAGGAAGGCACCUUUCACAUGCGAGUUUUAUGACCUGUUUCAGGGAAGAGGACAAGUUGGGGGAGAUGUGAGUGAUCUUCCUGCUUCUGCUGUUUUUUAAAUUUCUUUGGCUUAAAAUAUUUAAUAUGCCAAGAUGCCCUCUCUUGGGGUAGCAUAUUCUGAACCCCAUCACAAACAGAGACUGCAUGGCCCACAAACCCCAAAACAUCUACUAUCUGGCUCUUUAUAACAAAAAUUUGCUGAUUCCCCAGCCUAGAGUAAUGGUAGAUAUGAUAUCUUCAAGGAAUUUGAGUUCUACAAAUCCAAUUCCAGUUCUAUUUCUCUUGAAAGUUUGAGCCUCCCUUCUCUCUUCGCAUAAAUCAUCAUCUUUUCCAAAGAAAUGAUGAAAGUAUAUAUGGGCAUGGUUUGGACUAAAGAUUAUGAAAUAAGAACAUCUAUCUUUAAGGAAAGUUAAUAUAAAUAAUUUUUUAAAAAUUCACUUGUUGGAGUUCUUGUUGUGGUUCAGCAGUAAUGGUAAUUAACUAGU
Sus scrofa (pig) is the source of this 6282-nucleotide non-coding RNA. The record is from RefSeq and is a predicted model, not a curated record. Lineage: Eukaryota; Metazoa; Chordata; Mammalia; Artiodactyla; Suidae.